RNAcentral lists this ribosomal RNA (484 nucleotides) under uncultured bacterium. RNAcentral describes it as "partial 16S ribosomal RNA". It matches the Rfam family "Bacterial small subunit ribosomal RNA", at positions 28 to 523 of the family's 1533-position model. The record is from RNAcentral.
GACGAACGCUGGCGGCGUGCUUAACACAUGCAAGUCGAACGAUGAAGCUAGAGCUUGCUCUGGUGAAUUAGUGGCGAACGGGUGAGUAACACGUGAGUAGCCUGCCCCGAACUCUGGGAUAACUGCUGGAAACGGUAGCUAAUACUGGAUACGACCUACGAAGGCAUCUUCUGUAGGUGGAAAGAAUUUCGGUUCGGGAUGGACUCGCGGCCUAUCAGCUUGUUGGUGAGGUAAUGGCUCACCAAGGCGACGACGGGUAGCCGGCCUGAGAGGGUGCCCGGCCACACUGGGACUGAGACACGGCCCAGACGCCUACGGGAGGCAGCAGUGGGGAAUAUUGCACAAUGGGCGCAAGCCUGAUGCAGCAACGCCGCGUGAGGGAUGACGGCCUUCGGGUUGUAAACCUCUUUUAGUAGGGAAGAAGCGAAGGUGACGGUACCUGCAGAAAAAGCACCGGCUAACUACGUGCCAGCCGCCGCCGUAA